RNAcentral lists this ribosomal RNA (619 nucleotides) under uncultured bacterium. Its description in RNAcentral is "bacterial SSU rRNA". The stretch from base 1 to 534 matches the Rfam family "Bacterial small subunit ribosomal RNA", at positions 338 to 873 of the family's 1533-position model. The record is from RNAcentral.
CCUACGGGAGGCAGCAGUAGGGAAUAUUGGGCAAUGGGCGAGAGCCUGACCCAGCCAUGCCGCGUGCCGGAUGAAGGCCUUCUGGGUUGUAAACGGCUUUUCUCAGGGAAGAAAAAGACCUUGCGAGGUAAACUGACGGUACCUGAGGAAUAAGCACCGGCUAACUCCGUGCCAGCAGCCGCGGUAAUACGGAGGGUGCAAGCGUUGUCCGGAUUUAUUGGGUUUAAAGGGUGCGUAGGUGGCCCGUUAAGUCCGGGGUGAAAGCCCACAGCUCAACUGUGGAACUGCCCUGGAUACUGGCGGGCUUGAGUCCAGACGAGGUUGGCGGAAUGGAAGAUGUAGCGGUGAAAUGCAUAGAUAUCUUCCAGAACCCCGAUUGCGUAGGCAGCUGACUAGGCUGGUACUGACACUGAGGCACGAAAGCGUGGGGAGCGAACAGGAUUAGAUACCCUGGUAGUCCACGCCGUAAACGAUGGAUACUCGCUGGUGGCAAUAGACCGUCACUGGCUUAGCGAAAGCGGUAAGUAUCUCACGNGGAGUACGCGCGCGAGAAGUAGUAACGUUAAGAAAGUAGUUAGGUUACGUGNGAGNGCGACGGACGACGACGACGGAGGAGGAG